Molecule: ribosomal RNA, 253 nt
Filed under: uncultured bacterium
Lineage: Bacteria
Description: partial 16S ribosomal RNA
Rfam family: Bacterial small subunit ribosomal RNA
Source: RNAcentral
UACGUAGGAGGCGAGCGUUGUCCGGAAUCACUGGGUGUAAAGCGCGUGUAGGCGGCCUGCCAAGUCUGCUGUGAAAGCGCCUGGCUUAACCGGGCGAGGUCGGUGGAAACUGGCGGGCUGGAGGACGGUAGAGGGGGGUGGAACUCCCGGUGUAGUGGUGAAAUGCGUAGAGAUCGGGAGGAACACCAGUGGCGAAGGCGGCCCCCUGGGCCGUUCCUGACGCUGAGACGCGAAGGCGCGGGGAGCGAACGGG